CCGAGAUUCCCCCAGUAGCGGCGAGCGAACGGGGAGGAGCCCAGAGCCUGAAUCAGUGUGUGUGUUAGUGGAAGCGUCUGGAAAGGCGUGCGAUACAGGGUGACAGCCCCGUACACAAAAAUGCACAUACUGUGAGCUCGAUGAGUAGGGCGGGACACGUGGUAUCCUGUCUGAAUAUGGGGGGACCAUCCUCCAAGGCUAAAUACUCCUGACUGACCGAUAGUGAACCAGUACCGUGAGGGAAAGGCGAAAAGAACCCCGGCGAGGGGAGUGAAAAAGAACCUGAAACCGUGUACGUACAAGCAGUGGGAGCCUCUUAAUGGGGUGACUGCGUACCUUUUGUAUAAUGGGUCAGCGACUUAUAUUCUGUAGCAAGGUUAACCGAAUAGGGGAGCCGAAGGGAAACCGAGUCUUAACUGGGCGUUAAGUUGCAGGGUAUAGACCCGAAACCCGGUGAUCUAGCCAUGGGCAGGUUGAAGGUUGGGUAACACUAACUGGAGGACCGAACCGACUAAUGUUGAAAAAUUAGCGGAUGACUUGUGGCUGGGGGUGAAAGGCCAAUCAAACCGGGAGAUAGCUGGUUCUCCCCGAAAGCUAUUUAGGUAGCGCCUCGUGAAUUCAUCUCCGGGGGUAGAGCACUGUUUCGGCAAGGGGGUCAUCCCGACUUACCAACCCGAUGCAAACUGCGAAUACCGGAGAAUGUUAUCACGGGAGACACACGGCGGGUGCUAACGUCCGUCGUGAAGAGGGAAACAACCCAGACCGCCAGCUAAGGUCCCAAAGUCAUGGUUAAGUGGGAAACGAUGUGGGAAGGCCCAGACAGCCAGGAUGUUGGCUUAGAAGCAGCCAUCAUUUAAAGAAAGCGUAAUAGCUCACUGGUCGAGUCGGCCUGCGCGGAAGAUGUAACGGGGCUAAACCAUGCACCGAAGCUGCGGCAGCGACACUAUGUGUUGUUGGGUAGGGGAGCGUUCUGUAAGCCUGUGAAGGUGUACUGUGAGGUAUGCUGGAGGUAUCAGAAGUGCGAAUGCUGACAUAAGUAACGAUAAAGCGGGUGAAAAGCCCGCUCGCCGGAAGACCAAGGGUUCCUGUCCAACGUUAAUCGGGGCAGGGUGAGUCGACCCCUAAGGCGAGGCCGAAAGGCGUAGUCGAUGGGAAACAGGUUAAUAUUCCUGUACUUGGUGUUACUGCGAAGGGGGGACGGAGAAGGCUAUGUUGGCCGGGCGACGGUUGUCCCGGUUUAAGCGUGUAGGCUGGUUUUCCAGGCAAAUCCGGAAAAUCAAGGCUGAGGCGUGAUGACGAGGCACUACGGUGCUGAAGCAACAAAUGCCCUGCUUCCAGGAAAAGCCUCUAAGCAUCAGGUAACAUCAAAUCGUACCCCAAACCGACACAGGUGGUCAGGUAGAGAAUACCAAGGCGCUUGAGAGAACUCGGGUGAAGGAACUAGGCAAAAUGGUGCCGUAACUUCGGGAGAAGGCACGCUGAUAUGUAGGUGAAGUCCCUCGCGGAUGGAGCUGAAAUCAGUCGAAGAUACCAGCUGGCUGCAACUGUUUAUUAAAAACACAGCACUGUGCAAACACGAAAGUGGACGUAUACGGUGUGACGCCUGCCCGGUGCCGGAAGGUUAAUUGAUGGGGUUAGCGGUAACGCGAAGCUCUUGAUCGAAGCCCCGGUAAACGGCGGCCGUAACUAUAACGGUCCUAAGGUAGCGAAAUUCCUUGUCGGGUAAGUUCCGACCUGCACGAAUGGCGUAAUGAUGGCCAGGCUGUCUCCACCCGAGACUCAGUGAAAUUGAACUCGCUGUGAAGAUGCAGUGUACCCGCGGCAAGACGGAAAGACCCCGUGAACCUUUACUAUAGCUUGACACUGAACAUUGAGCCUUGAUGUGUAGGAUAGGUGGGAGGCUUUGAAGUGUGGACGCCAGUCUGCAUGGAGCCGGCCUUGAAAUACCACCCUUUAAUGUUUGAUGUUCUAACGUUGGCCCCUGACCGGGGUUGCGGACAGUGUCUGGUGGGUAGUUUGACUGGGGCGGUCUCCUCCUAAAGAGUAACGGAGGAGCACGAAGGUUGGCUAAUCCUGGUCGGACAUCAGGAGGUUAGUGCAAUGGCAUAAGCCAGCUUGACUGCGAGCGUGACGGCGCGAGCAGGUGCGAAAGCAGGUCAUAGUGAUCCGGUGGUUCUGAAUGGAAGGGCCAUCGCUCAACGGAUAAAAGGUACUCCGGGGAUAACAGGCUGAUACCGCCCAAGAGUUCAUAUCGACGGCGGUGUUUGGCACCUCGAUGUCGGCUCAUCACAUCCUGGGGCUGAAGUAGGUCCCAAGGGUAUGGCUGUUCGCCAUUUAAAGUGGUACGCGAGCUGGGUUUAGAACGUCGUGAGACAGUUCGGUCCCUAUCUGCCGUGGGCGCUGGAGAACUGAGGGGGGCUGCUCCUAGUACGAGAGGACCGGAGUGGACGCAUCACUGGUGUUCGGGUUGUCAUGCCAAUGGCACUGCCCGGUAGCUAAAUGCGGAAGAGAUAAGUGCUGAAAGCAUCUAAGCACGAAACUUGCCCCGAGAUGAGUUCUCCCUGACUCCUUGAGAGUCCUGAAGGAACGUUGAAGACGACGACGUUGAUAGGCCGGGUGUGUAAGCGCAGCGAUGCGUUGAGCUAACCGGUACUAAUGAACCGUGAGG
This 2668-nucleotide ribosomal RNA is filed under the name Escherichia coli. RNAcentral's name for it is "partial 23S ribosomal RNA". It matches the Rfam family "Bacterial large subunit ribosomal RNA". Lineage: Bacteria; Pseudomonadati; Pseudomonadota; Gammaproteobacteria; Enterobacterales; Enterobacteriaceae. The record is from RNAcentral.